CACUCCUACGUUAAUUACACGAUUUUUAAUUAAUUUUUGAAAAUCGCAAAUCUCCCAUAAGAAUACAUGUAACGAAAAAUUAUAUCCUAGUUUCGUUGUAGUUCUGUUUCGACCGCUAGAUGGCGACUACUUUGCUGUCAAGUGCGAAUAUGAUUCUUGAUGAGUUGAUGAUAACGAUUUUCAUUUUCUUAUCAGUUAUCUCUCUUACAAUACAUAAUUUAUUUACUUUCAACUUUCAAGUUUUAAAUGGAGUGGAGCUGUCUAAAAUAUCGUUAUUGACUUAUAGCUCGCGAUUAUAAAUUCAAAUGAGUCGUUUAAAUAUAAGGUGUUUCACUUGCAUCGUUUAUUUCAUGUGUAAACAGUAUUGAAGGAAAGUUCUUCAGUUCAUGAGGUUACCCAGGUUACCCUAGAAACAAUUUCAUUCAGAAAAUUUAUCUCAGCAAAAAAUUAUGCCUUUGAAAGGAGUAAAAGUUAUAGAACUGGCGGGGCUCGCUCCUGGGCCAUUUUGUGGCAAAGUUCUGCUUGAUUUCGGAGCCUCGGUUAUCAAAGUGCAUAAAAUGGCUGAAUCGUUUCCAGAUGUACUGUCAAAUGGAAAAAAGUCAGUUGGUGUCAAUUUAAAGUCCAAAAAAGGCGCUGAAGUGUUUCGAAAAUUGUGUGGUUCUGCUGAUGUAUUAAUUGACCCAUUUAGAAAAGGUGUUUUGGAAAAACUUGGACUCGGACCCAACGAAUUGUUGCAGAAAAAUCCAAAAUUAGUUUGCGCUCGGUUAUCUGGAUUUGGGCAAAAUGGUCACUUUUCAUCUAUGGCUGGGCACGACAUAAAUUAUUUAGCUAUAACUGGGUUAUUAUCUAUGUACGGAUGGCGAGGAAAAUAUCCGAUACCGCCGAGUAAUUUCUCAGAAUUCGCCGGAGGCAGUUUAAUUUGUGUAUUAGGAAUUUUACUAGCUUUGUUUGAAAGAACUAAAACUGGCACAGGUCAAGUGAUAGAUAGUAACAUCACGGAAGGAAUUUCGUACGUUGGUUCUUGGCUGAUGAAAUCUAAAAAUACUUUUUUUACGGAAUCACGUGGAAAUAAUCUGCUAGACGGCGGUACUCAUUUUUACGACGUUUAUGAAACUAAAGAUGGAAAAUUCAUGGCUGUGGGAGCGUUAGAGCCACAAUUUUAUAACGAACUGAUCGUUAAAUUAGAUUUUAGUCCAGAAGAGCUGCCUCAAUUAGGAGAUUUUGAAGAGAGUAGGAUCAAACUUCAGAAUAAAUUCAAACAGAAAACGCAAGAAGAAUGGUGUGAAGUCUUUGAUUUAUCUGAUGCGUGUGUAACGCCCGUUUUGACGUUGGAAGAAGCAUCGAAACAUCAACAUAAUAGUGAUAGAAAAUCCUUUCUGAGAGACUGCGAUGGUGAUAUUAUGCCACUUCCAGCUCCUAGGUUGCAAAAAAAUCCGCCCAAAAUGGAUAAUUUUCAGUUACCUUCUCCUUUAGGAGAACAUACUAUCGAGGUUUUGUCCGAGUUAGGGUAUUCGAUUGAUCAACUUCGGCUAUUAGCCGCUAAUGGUGUUAUUUGGAAUCAAGAAAGAAGUAAAUAUUGAUUGUGGAUUCAUGAGAUUCAUCAUUAUUCAUUGUUAUUAAUUUUUUUUUUCUUAGUUCUGGAAAAUGAAGAAUAAAUGAUGUAUUCUUUGGAUCACAUUUCUGUGAAUGGAAAAAUUUGAUGCAACUAACUGUGAUGAAACCCGCGUCGUACGAGUAUGAUAUUUUUGUUUGCUUUUUUAAAAAAAUAAGGUUUUUAUUGGUAGGUAUGAAACUCGUUAUAUUAUAUUUUCUUUUUCAAACAAAACCAAAAGCCUUUAUUAUUCGUGAGUUAUUUUCUGAAACAUUUAGUUUUAUAUCAAUUUACAAAAUGCGGUCAGUUGAUUUGCUGUGAGUAACCAUUUCUUUUGAUGGAAAGCAACAUUUUUGAAAUCAAACCGAAUAUCACUGGUCUCAUUGAGUCUGCUGUUUUAGAGCUUUCUUAAUCCAACAUUUCGUAUUCGUAAUAUUUAAGACGAAUUUCCUAUUGUUAUCAACUUUUCAAUUGUUUUUUAAGAUCCUUUCUACUUUCUGUAAUUUAUGACUGUGCAGCCCUGCUCCGAAAAAUGCAAUUAGUAAAAUGGAAACAGUUGGAUCUAAUAUGAAGUCCCAGUUUCCUGGGACAUUGAGAGGUAAUUUGUGGUUCUCAAAAAUCUCAAAAUUUGUUUGUUUUUUUUAAAUUUUGGAUAAUCUAUUCAAAAAAUGUUGGGAGUAUUGUAAUGGUACAAAAAAUGAGAGAAGUGCACUAAGUGUAGACUUGAGACGUUAUUGUUCACGCGACAUUUAAAAAAAUACAAUUCAGUGAAUCAAUUGCAUUUGAAAUUAAUUCGUGUGAUUUACAUUCAAGUAAAUAAAUUAAAAUGAUAAUAGUAAUAGUAUAUUUGAAAUUUUUUAAUUUCAUUAUAAUGUUUAAAGAAUGAGCAGGAUUUUCUAAGAAAAAAAUAAAUAUAAAAUAGCCAAUAAAUUAAAAAAAAAAGACAAAACAUUUUACAUUUUAUACAAAACCGUACAAAAAAAUGAAUUUUAUGUACAUAAAAAUAUUCAGUUCUCAUGUAACAUAAUUGUUUUAAAAAAAUGUUUUUUUUUUAGUACAAAGUUUCUUGUAAAAUACUCGGAGGCUCCGAUAAAUACAUCAUCACCACAUAAUAUGUAUGUACCAGUACCUUAAGUCUAAAUACUGUCAUUUAUAAUAAUGGUUCCAUUCGUAUUUAUAGUUUCGGGGUAUGUAGAUUCAUCAAACAAUUUUCAUCGACUAGAUCAUUUUUUCAAUUAUUAUUCGCACUAGUUUUUUUAUUUUAUUUUUUAUUUUCACGAAAUAUUUCUUGUUGAUGUUUAAUUUCUGUUACGUUUUACGUUACAUUUGUACUCGUUUAAUAAAUUUUUUUUUUAAUA
Planococcus citri (citrus mealybug) is the source of this 2949-nucleotide RNA transcript. It is a transcript of the gene named alpha-methylacyl-CoA racemase-like, with no coding region annotated. The transcript is spliced from 7 exons. Lineage: Eukaryota; Metazoa; Arthropoda; Insecta; Hemiptera; Pseudococcidae. The record is from RefSeq and is a predicted model, not a curated record.